GGGCUGUUCGAUGAAGGUGGCCAUCAGAUUUAAUGUGUCCCCAAAUUGUCCCCACAUAGCAAAUAAAUACCACAAAAUACUUAUUUUUAUGCAUUUAAUUUAGCCUUCACACGGCAAGGGUCGCAGGUUCGAUCCCUGCACCGCCCACCA
This 150-nucleotide transfer RNA is filed under the name Pseudomonadota bacterium. Its description in RNAcentral is "Proteobacteria bacterium (activated sludge metagenome) tRNA-Val". The record is from RNAcentral. Lineage: Bacteria; Pseudomonadati; Pseudomonadota.